Molecule: ribosomal RNA, 262 nt
Filed under: uncultured Glomus
Lineage: Eukaryota; Fungi; Glomeromycota; Glomeromycetes; Glomerales; Glomeraceae
Description: partial 18S ribosomal RNA
Rfam family: Eukaryotic small subunit ribosomal RNA
Source: RNAcentral
UUGGAGGGCAAGUCUGGUGCCAGCAGCCGCGGUAAUUCCAGCUCCAAUAGCGUAUAUUAAAGUUGUUGCAGUUAAAAAGCUCGUAGUUGAAUUUCGGGAUCAAUACGUCGGUCGUGCUUCGGUACGUACUGGCGUCAUCGAUUUCUCCCUUCUGACGAACCAUGAUGUCAUUAACUUGGUGUCAUGGGAAAUCAGGACUGUUACUUUGAAAAAAUUGAGUGUUUAAAGCAGGCUCACGCUUGAAUACAUUAGCAUGGAAUAA